RNAcentral lists this ribosomal RNA (328 nucleotides) under uncultured eukaryote. RNAcentral's name for it is "partial 18S ribosomal RNA". It matches the Rfam family "Eukaryotic small subunit ribosomal RNA", at positions 1470 to 1796 of the family's 1831-position model. The record is from RNAcentral.
CCCUUAGACGUUCUGGGCCGCACGCGCGCUACACUGACGGAGCCAGCGAGUAUAAACCUUGGCCGAGAGGUCUGGGAAACCUUGUGAAACUCCGUCGUGCUGGGGAUAGAGCAUUGUAAUUAUUGCUCUUCAACGAGGAAUUCCUAGUAAGCGCAAGUCAUCAGCUUGCGUUGAUUACGUCCCUGCCCUUUGUACACACCGCCCGUCGCUACUACCGAUUGAAUGGCUUAGUGAGGCUUCCGGAUUGGUUUAGAGAAGGGGGCAACUCCAUCUUGGAACCGAGAAGCUAGUCAAACUUGGUCAUUUAGAGGAAGUAAAAGUCGUAACA